Molecule: ribosomal RNA, 253 nt
Filed under: uncultured bacterium
Lineage: Bacteria
Description: partial 16S ribosomal RNA
Rfam family: Bacterial small subunit ribosomal RNA
Source: RNAcentral
UACGAAGGGGGCAAGCGUUGUUCGGAAUCACUGGGCUUAAAGGGCGCGUAGGCGGGGUCAUAAGUCUGUGGUGAAAUCCUCCGGCUCAACCGGAGAACUGCCUCGGAUACUGUGGCUCUCGAGGGUGGUAGGGGUAUGCGGAACUAUCGGUGGAGCGGUGAAAUGCGUUGAUAUCGAUAGGAACUCCGGUGGCGAAGGCGGCAUACUGGACCACUUCUGACGCUGAGGCGCGAAAGCCAGGGGAGCAAACGGG